UACAGAGGUCCCAAGCGUUGUUCGGAUUCACUGGGCAUAAAGCGCACGUAGGCGGUGUCGUAAGUCGGAUGUGAAAUCCCUCGGCCUAACCGAGGAACUGCGUCCGAUACUGCGAUGCUUGAGGACCAGAGGGGUGCAUGGAAUUUCCGGUGGAGCGGUGAAAUGCGUUGAUAUCGGAAGGAACUCCGGCGGCGAAAGCGAUGCACUGGCUGGUUUCUGACGCUGAGGUGCGAAAGCCAGGGGAGCAAACGGG
This 253-nucleotide ribosomal RNA is filed under the name uncultured bacterium. RNAcentral describes it as "partial 16S ribosomal RNA". It matches the Rfam family "Bacterial small subunit ribosomal RNA", at positions 524 to 776 of the family's 1533-position model. The record is from RNAcentral.